RNAcentral lists this transfer RNA (77 nucleotides) under Bradyrhizobium sp. cir1. RNAcentral's name for it is "tRNA-Arg". Lineage: Bacteria; Pseudomonadati; Pseudomonadota; Alphaproteobacteria; Hyphomicrobiales; Nitrobacteraceae. The record is from RNAcentral.
CGCCCCGUAGCUCAGUUGGAAAGAGCGCCGCCGUCCGACGGCGGAGGGCCCGCGUUCGAUUCGCGGAGGGGUGACCA